This 640-nucleotide ribosomal RNA is filed under the name uncultured Actinomycetes bacterium. Its description in RNAcentral is "bacterial SSU rRNA". It matches the Rfam family "Bacterial small subunit ribosomal RNA", at positions 232 to 887 of the family's 1533-position model. The record is from RNAcentral. Lineage: Bacteria; Bacillati; Actinomycetota; Actinomycetes.
CGCGGCCUAUCAGCUUGUUGGUGGGGUAAUGGCCUACCAAGGCGUCGACGGGUAGCCGGCCUGAGAGGGCGACCGGCCACACUGGGACUGAGAUACGGCCCAGACUCCUACGGGAGGCAGCAGUGGGGAAUAUUGCACAAUGGGCGGAAGCCUGAUGCAGCAACGCCGCGUGCGGGAUGAAGGCCUUCGGGUUGUAAACCGCUUUCAGUAGGGACGAAUGUGACGGUACCUACAGAAGAAGCACCGGCUAACUACGUGCCAGCAGCCGCGGUGAUACGUAGGGUGCGAGCGUUGUCCGGAUUUAUUGGGCGUAAAGAGCUCGUAGGCGGUUUGUUGCGUCGGAAGUGAAAACACGGGGCUUAACUUCGUGCUUGCUUUCGAUACGGGCAGACUUGAGGAAGGUAGGGGAGAACGGAAUUCCUGGUGGAGCGGUGGAAUGCGCAGAUAUCAGGAGGAACACCGGUGGCGAAGGCGGUUCUCUGGACCUUUCCUGACGCUGAGGAGCGAAAGCGUGGGGAGCAAACAGGCUUAGAUACCCUGGUAGUCCACGCCGUAAACGGUGGGCACUAGGUGUGGGGGACAUUCCACGUUCUCCGUGCCGUAGCUAACGCAUUAAGUGCCCCGCCUGGGGAGUACGGAC